Molecule: ribosomal RNA, 380 nt
Filed under: uncultured eukaryote
Lineage: Eukaryota
Description: partial 18S ribosomal RNA
Rfam family: Eukaryotic small subunit ribosomal RNA
Source: RNAcentral
CAAUAGCGUAUAUUAAAGUUGUUGCAGUUAAAAAGCUCGUAGUUGGAUUUGUGGCGUACGGUGGGUUCCGGGCACUUGUUGUCUGAGUAACUUGCUGUUGCCAUCCUUGGGUGGAACCUGUGUGGCAUUAGGUUGUCGUGCAGGGGAUGCCCAUCAUUUACUGUGAAAAAAUUAGAGUGUUCAAAGCAGGCUUAUGCCGUUGAAUAUAUUAGCAUGGAAUAAUGAGAUAGGACUUUUUUGCUAUUUUGUUGGUUUGCGCAAAGAGGUAAUGAUUAAUAGGGACAGCUGGGGGUAUUCGUAUUCCAUUGUCAGAGGUGAAAUUCUUGGAUUUUUGGAAGACGAACUACUGCGAAAGCAUUUACCAAGGAUGUUUUCAUUAA